GGGGAAUCUUCCGCAAUGGGCGAAAGCCUGACGGAGCAACGCCGCGUGAGUGAAGACGGCCUUCGGGUUGUAAAGCUCUGUUAUACGGGACGAAAAAUCUUGUGGUUAAUACCCAUAAGAAGUGACGGUACCGUAAGAGAAAGCCACGGCUAACUACGUGCCAGCAGCCGCGGUAAUACGUAGGUGGCAAGCGUUGUCCGGAAUUAUUGGGCGUAAAGGGCGCGCAGGCGGCUUCUUAAGUCUGUCUUAAAAGUGCGGGGCUUAACCCCGUGAUGGGAUGGAAACUGGGAAGCUCAGAGUAUCGGAGAGGAAAGCGGAAUUCCUAGUGUAGCGGUGAAAUGCGUAGAUAUUAGGAAGAACACCAGUGGCGAAGGCGACUUUCUGGACGAAAACUGACGCUGAGGCGCGAAAGCCAGGGGAGCGAACGGGAUUAGAUACCCCGGUAGUCCUGGCCGUAAACGAUGGGUACUAGGUGUAGGAGGUAUCGACCCCUUCUGUGCCGGAGUUAACGCAAUAAGUACCCCGCCUGGGGAGUACGACCGCAAGGUUG
This 550-nucleotide ribosomal RNA is filed under the name uncultured bacterium. RNAcentral's name for it is "bacterial SSU rRNA". It matches the Rfam family "Bacterial small subunit ribosomal RNA", at positions 356 to 896 of the family's 1533-position model. The record is from RNAcentral.